GGGAUUUAGCUCAAUCUGGUAGAGCGCUUGCUUUGCAAGCAAGAUGUUAGCGGUUCAAGUCCGCUAAUCUCC
Molecule: transfer RNA, 72 nt
Filed under: marine eukaryotic metagenome
Rfam family: tRNA
About the family: Transfer RNA (tRNA) molecules are approximately 80 nucleotides in length. Their secondary structure includes four short double-helical elements and three loops (D, anti-codon, and T loops).
Source: RNAcentral